CUCACAAAGUGGGUGUGUAUAUGUUAGUAGAAUUUCAUAUCACAGCCAGCUUUGAUGAGCG
RNAcentral lists this microRNA precursor (61 nucleotides) under Parasteatoda tepidariorum (common house spider). RNAcentral describes it as "microRNA pte-mir-2b precursor (pte-mir-2b-2)". Its record names the gene pte-mir-2b-2. Lineage: Eukaryota; Metazoa; Arthropoda; Arachnida; Araneae; Theridiidae. The record is from miRBase by way of RNAcentral.